CUUUGUUCUUUCUUUUGUACUCUUUAUUUUCUGUUUCAUUUAAUUAUUUGUCUGUAAAUAUGUUUUAUACAGGAACACAAUGUAAAUUACCAUUUUUUCGAUAUAAUUGUGUUAUCCUGUCUAAAUAGAAAUAUUAAUUACAGAAUUUAUUAUUCUUCAAAGAAAAAGGUAGACGGCAUACACGUGGUGAGUUAAAGUUCGCGCGCUUUUCCAUUUGAUUCCGCUCAUCCAGAAUCAAUAGUUGGACCAACUUGGAAAAAGCCACACGGUAUUUCCCAGUACUAAUCUCUCGGAUGAACAGAUGGUGAAAAGGACAAAAUGAAUAUAGACGUUUGGAAUGUGCGGAUUAUUUCCAUAUUCAUUUUCAUUGGAAUAUCUCUUUCAAAACGGUACAAGUAUUGUGCAGAGGGAUGCUGUCCACACGAAUUCUGUGCGUAUCACAAAAUCUGCUAUCCCGUCAUUCACUGCGAGCCUACGUGCCCUGACGGAAGUUGUCAAAAUGGACUCUGCUUUCCCGCCAAACCAUGCAAGGUGAACACAGAAUGUGGAUUCGCCGAGUCUUGCUCUUACAAUUUCAAUCUGGGGUACGAAACUUGUCAGUACAAUCUGAACAUUGGGGACACCCUGUGUUACGACAGGAACGGGAAGUCGGUGGUCAAUCCAAAGCCAGACGAGAGUCCGUUUGUUCACAACAGUUUUAACAACAGACGAGAUAAUUUAUGAUUAAUAACAAACACGCAAUAUGUAUUUUGUUUAUAAAUACGCAAAAAUCACAGUUAUUUUUCUGGGGUUUCAGUUAAGUGACAGCCAUACUAACUGAUUAAUUAUCAUUGUCAUCCAUGUAAGUUUCAAGGAAGGUGGUCUAAGCUUCUUCAUAUUAUCUGAUAAUGAUAGAUGAAAAACUUAACAUUGCAUAUUUUACCCUUUUAAUUGGUUUUCAAAUACAUGUAUGUACAUAUAAUUGCUGUUUAUACAUAUUUACAAAUGUAUUAACACAUUCAAACUUCACUUAAACAUCAAAUCUUUCAUGCCGUCUUUAUAUUUGUAACACCAAAACCUUUCAUCUUGAAAAGAACUUAACUAAUCAAAAUGCAUGACACAUUAUUUCUUGCAUUAUUUGUGCACUGACAUUCUGUUUAGGCCAUAGCCUUCCAUUCAUCUAUAAUGGAUGGCCAUAGCUAUCCAAUUCUCUGAAAAAGUCUGUGGGACAUCCACAUAUUUGUGCAUCUCACAUUAAACACAAUAUAGUAAUUAUAUUUCCAUAAAUUCCAUAAACAAUAAUUUUCAGCAUAACGUUGAAAUGAAAUUUACAGAUGAUCAUACCAUACAUUUCGUUUAUUAUUUUUUUUAAAAAGUCUGGAAAUGUUAAAAAAAAGAACAAGCUAAUUAUAUACUAAUAAUUUAACUUUCAUCAAUCAGAACAUGCUAUACAUAUAUAUACCCCUGUAUUCACUACACAGUAUAGUUUCAAAGUUUUCUCCAAAAAAUGAAAAAUGGAUUUACAAUGAAAAUGGUAAUUUGCCCAUACAAGGCAUAUUCUGUUUGGAGAAAUCAGCAGAAAAAAAGAA
Molecule: long non-coding RNA, 1568 nt
Organism: Magallana angulata
Lineage: Eukaryota; Metazoa; Mollusca; Bivalvia; Ostreida; Ostreidae
Exons: 2
Source: RefSeq, a predicted model, not a curated record